This 493-nucleotide long non-coding RNA is filed under the name Anser cygnoides (Swan goose). RNAcentral's name for it is "lncRNA (ENSACDG00005018490.1)". Lineage: Eukaryota; Metazoa; Chordata; Aves; Anseriformes; Anatidae. The record is from RNAcentral.
UGAACUUACUUGAAAUGAGACUGGAACAACAUAAAUUGAAAUGGAGAAUUGGUAGAAACACAGGUAGAUCUGGAACAAAGGAACAUCAAAUGUAGAUGAAAACAUUGAACAAAGUGGUUCUGAAAAGUUACAUGUAAUGACUCUGAAAGUCCUGGGGGUAGUUCCACAGCAACUUUUCCAAAGAUCAAGAUACUUGGAUUCCUGUGUUAUGUCAGCCUGGAGGAUUCCUAACACUGUCUCCCAGAACAGGCUAAUGACCAGAAGCCAGAUGAUGGAUUGGAGGCAGCAGACAUGGUGGGUUCCCUUUUCCGUUUUGCAUCAUCCCAUGCUCUGUAACCAGAUAGGUAUAUGCCUAACAGUAAGCAUAGAUUCAGCACAGAAGACAAGUUUCAACAAAAUACCCUAUUGUUUGGAAGCUGUUCUAGCUGAUAGCACUACUUCAGGUGCACUUAAUCUUAAGUCCCCAGAGGCCCUAAUAGGAAUGAUGAGCUGA